RNAcentral lists this ribosomal RNA (459 nucleotides) under uncultured bacterium. Its description in RNAcentral is "partial 16S ribosomal RNA". It matches the Rfam family "Bacterial small subunit ribosomal RNA", at positions 338 to 795 of the family's 1533-position model. The record is from RNAcentral.
CCUACGGGAGGCAGCAGUGAGGAAUAUUGGUCAAUGGGCGGAAGCCUGAACCAGCCAAGUAGCGUGCGGGAUGAAGGCCCUACGGGUCGUCAACCGCUUUUGCACGGGGAUAACACCCUCCACUUGUGGAGGUCUGCAGGUACCGUGCGAAUAAGGGCCGGCUAAUUCCGUGCCAGCAGCCGCGGGAAUACGGAAGGCCCGAGCGUUGUCCGGAUUCAUUGGGAUAAAAGGGAGCGUAGGCGGGCGGUCAAGUCAGCGGUAAAGCCGCGCGGCUCAACCGCGCCCCGAAGUUGAAACUGGACGCCUUGAGUUCACAACAGGCAGGCGGAAUUCGUGGUGUAGCGGUGAAAUGCAUAGAUAUCACGAGGACCCCCGAUUGCGAAGGCAGCCUGCCGGGGUGCGACUGACGCUGAGGCUCGAAGGUGCGGGUAUCAAACAGGAUUAGAUACCCUAGUAGUC